This 494-nucleotide ribosomal RNA is filed under the name uncultured bacterium. Its description in RNAcentral is "bacterial SSU rRNA". It matches the Rfam family "Bacterial small subunit ribosomal RNA", at positions 28 to 521 of the family's 1533-position model. The record is from RNAcentral.
GAUGAACGCUAGCGGCAGGCCUAACACAUGCAAGUCGAGGGGUAGGGUUAGCUUGCUAACUUGAGACCGGCGCACGGGUGCGUAACGCGUAUGCAAUCUACCUUGUACAGAGGGAUAGCCCAGAGAAAUUUGGAUUAAUACCUCAUAGUAUCUUUACCUGGCAUCGGGUAAUUAUUAAAGUUCCAACGGUACAAGAUGAGCAUGCGUCCCAUUAGUUAGUUGGUAAGGUAACGGCUUACCAAGACAAUGAUGGGUAGGGGUCCUGAGAGGGAGAUCCCCCACACUGGUACUGAGACACGGACCAGACUCCUACGGGAGGCAGCAGUGAGGAAUAUUGGUCAAUGGACGCAAGUCUGAACCAGCCAUGCCGCGUGCAGGAAGACGGUCCUAUGGAUUGUAAACUGCUUUUAUACAGGAAGAAACAACUCUACGUGUAGAGUCUUGACGGUACUGUAGGAAUAAGGAUCGGCUAACUCCGUGCCAGCAGCCGCGGU